CACGUGGAUAAUUUACCCUCAGGUUGGGGAUAACUCCGGGAAACUGGGGCUAAUACCGAAUAAGAUGGUAGGAACAUAAGUUCCAGCCAUUAAAGGUGGGGACCGCAAGGCCUAUCGCCAGAGGAAAAGUCCGCGGCCCAUCAGCUUGUUGGUAGGGUAAUGGCCUACCAAGGCUACGAUGGGUAGCCGGCCUGAGAGGGUGAACGGCCCCAUUGGGACUGAGACACGGCCCAGACUCCUACGGGAGGCAGCAGUUAAGAAUCUUGCGCAAUGGGCGCAAGCCUGACGCAGCGACGCCGCGUGAAGGAUGAAGGCCUUCGGGUCGUAAACUUCGAUAAGCAGGGAAGAAUAAGUUAUGGCUAAUAUCCAUAGCGAUGACGGUACCUGUCUAAAGCCCCGGCUAACUACGUG
This 411-nucleotide ribosomal RNA is filed under the name uncultured bacterium. Its description in RNAcentral is "bacterial SSU rRNA". It matches the Rfam family "Bacterial small subunit ribosomal RNA", at positions 114 to 507 of the family's 1533-position model. The record is from RNAcentral.